UACGUAGGGGGCGAGCGUUGUCCGGAUUUACUGGGCGUAAAGCGCGUGUAGGCGGUACCCUAAGUCCGGGGUGAAAUCCGGGGGCUUAACCCCCGAACGGCGCCGGAAACUGGAGCGCUUGAGUGUCGGAGAGGGGAGUGGAAUUCUCGGUGUAGCGGUGAAAUGCGUAGAGAUCGAGAGGAACACCCGUGGCGAAGGCGGCUCCCUGGCCGAACACUGACGCUGAGACGCGAAAGCGUGGGGAGCGAACGGG
This 253-nucleotide ribosomal RNA is filed under the name uncultured bacterium. Its description in RNAcentral is "partial 16S ribosomal RNA". It matches the Rfam family "Bacterial small subunit ribosomal RNA", at positions 524 to 776 of the family's 1533-position model. The record is from RNAcentral.